AGAUGCUUCAGCAUGCAGCUCCGUUUGAAUAUCAUCCAUACUUUCCUCAGCUUUGUGACUAUCAUCUGUAGUUGCUCCCCCAUCAUCAAGACUUCUCGGAAAAGUAUCUAGACAUAAGUCUACAGGACUGCUUGUGGUCGACUUUGGCUUGUUAGACUUCUUGAAGUCAUCGAUCAUUUGAUCCUUCAAAAAAACAACAUCAC
RNAcentral lists this long non-coding RNA (203 nucleotides) under Elaeis guineensis (African oil palm). RNAcentral's name for it is "long non-coding RNA (EGUI_LNC035626)". The record is from RNAcentral. Lineage: Eukaryota; Viridiplantae; Streptophyta; Magnoliopsida; Arecales; Arecaceae.